UUGGGUUUCGCACCCCACUUUAUUAAAAACGGGAAUUUAAAUUCCGAUUUUAAUACGAAAAAAACGGAAAUUAAAAAACCGUUAUGUAUUUUAGCAUAUGUGGCACAUUUUCAACCGUUCAUUGCAUAUAAAAAACAAAUCGGAAUUUUAAAUUCCGUUUUGAAAACGGAAAUUAAAUUUCCGUAUUGAAUACAUGGGGUGCCAAACCCAAUAGGUGGGGUGUCAAACCCAAAUCCCGCAUAGUCCCACUCCCUCACCUUCAUUGAGAGCCGCUAGCUCUGCAAUUUUGCAUACGGUAUCAAGAAAUCCACCCUUCUCAAUUCUCAAAACCAACACAACACAUUCGUUUCUUCUCUGAAAAAGACUCCACCUUUGGCGUCAAACUCUUCAGGUUAGGCCAUGAAAAGAAGAAGGGACUCAAUUGGGUCUGCUAGGGUAGCAGUGGAAGUUGAUGAUGAGCCAGAAAGUCAGCAACUUGGGGCUUCUCUUGCUGAUCUUCCAACCCAUAUCACUACUGAUAUUCUGCUAAGACUUCCUGUGAAGUCUAUUCUCAUUUGUAAAUGUGUUUGUAGAAGUUUGAAAGCUAUGAUCUCAGACCCCCAUUUUGCAAAACUUCACUUUCAGCAUUCCCAAUCUGGUUUCAUGAUUCGUGCCAAGGAUAAGAAAUUGUCGGGAAUCAUGUACCUUCUUGAGCGCGAGACUGAAAAGUUUGAAAAUGAUGAUGAUGAUAGCCAAUUCUGUUGCUGUGAGAACUCUAUUAUGAGACCUGAAUGCAACUGUCACUUUAUACUUGAGCAUAAAGUCAAGCUUCCUUUUCGUGGUGCCAAACUAGUUUGGGGUAAUAGAGAUGAAAGCAAGAAAAGAGGCAGACCAACGGGCAGAGAAAAUCAUUAUUUUAACUUUGAGGGAGAAGAUGGUAAGUUUGCUGUGGUGAACUCUUGCAAUGGCUUGAUUUGCUUGUGUGAUAGGGAAAGAGACUAUUUUGUUGUUUGCAACCCAAUUACAGGUGAGUUCAUACGACUUCCACAAACUAGUAGAAUUGGUAAAACUAAUAAAUUCAGUAUCCAAGAGAUAUACGCUGGUUUUGGUUUCCAACCCAAAAAUAAUGAAUAUAAGGUGGUAAGAAUAUUGAGAGGGUUGCAGUUUUAUCAUGGUAUUAUGGCUGCUGAAGUGCACACCCUAGGGACAUCAACAUGGAGGAAUGUUGAAGUUAAUUCUAUGUAUUUUUACAACCUCCGAUUUCCUACUUGUGUUAGUGGGGCACUUCAUUGGAUCGGUUCCUAUCACGGGACUCUAUCAAUAUUGUGUUUCGACUUUGAAAGCGAGAGGUUCCGGUCCUUCCCUACUCCUCCCUGUUUGUAUCAAAGUUGUACUGAGAGCAUAACCAUGGGAGAAUUGAGGGGCUCUCUUUACAUAUGUGAUUCCUUUUCUAAGGGUACUCCCUUUGUAAUGUGGAUUAUGAAGGAAUAUGGUUUCAAAGAAUCGUGGACUAAGAUUUUCAGCUUUGAUACUAUGAGCAGUUAUCGCUGGCCUUUUGGUGGAUUAUAUUGGCCAGUAAAACACUUUAAGAAUGGUUCUGCUAUAUUGAUGUAUCAUUCCUACAAUUUCUUUAUCUACUAUGAACCUGGAAAGGAUGGAUUCAAAAUUUUUAAAGUUCGUGGGACUCAAUCAAGAUUUGAUGUUAUUCCUCAUAUUCCUAGUUUUAUCUCGCUGAAAGAUGUUGUGAAAGGAGACAAUAUUGAGGUGCUGAAUGUGCACUCAAGGUAUGAGGAGUUCAAAUUUAUGGAAGAAAAUGCAGAUCUUUUCUUGGCUAAAGUGAACGACAAAGUGGGAAUAUUAUACACCAUAUCAACUGAUGAUGAAGAAUAGGGUGAAGAACACAACCUUGUACAACUCUCUCCACUCAGAUUUCGUUCUCAUCUUAUGAUUUCAGUUUCUUCUCCUCUCAAAUUUGGAUCGAAGUAAUAGUGGGUCAGGAUGGUUUAAAGAAGAGGUCUUUCCAUUUGCCUUUAACCCUUGAUAAAUUGAAAUAUGCUGACAUCAAAAGCAAGGUAAGGUUGUAAUUAUUUAACACUUCUCCUGCAUUUCAUUUUCUGCGGCUUCUUAUGACUAGAUUUUGUCAUUAUCAACAUGUAAUUAUUUUUGGCGUCUAAAUGAAGGAUGAAUGAGUAGCCCAAGGUUGUAGUUUCAUUUACUUAAGCUGGAAAAUGUAAUGGUGUCAUUUGGCUUGAAUGAUUUCAAGAACUUCUACUUUUCAAUUAGGAUGCCUUUACAUUGAAUUUCUGGUGAGCUAGCUCAGAUUUAGUGUUGAGAUUUUCGGUGGAUAUCAUUUUUACUUGUUCAUUCAAUGAGCAAGUUUUUUUAUCCUGAUUUUACAAAGAUGGAGCUUGAGCACAUUUUCAUUUUAUGUAGGUUGUCAUCCUUGCAAUACAAUAGUUAUUAGACAAGAUUGCAUUUUACGUUCAUUGUUCAAUAUAAAUCAAUUUCUGCGUUACUGGAUUUAA
RNA transcript from Lotus japonicus, 2504 nucleotides. It is a transcript of the gene named F-box/kelch-repeat protein At3g06240-like, with no coding region annotated. The record is from RefSeq and is a predicted model, not a curated record. NCBI's taxonomy places the organism in Eukaryota, Viridiplantae, Streptophyta, Magnoliopsida, Fabales, Fabaceae. The transcript has 5 exons.